Molecule: long non-coding RNA, 1057 nt
Organism: Myiozetetes cayanensis
Lineage: Eukaryota; Metazoa; Chordata; Aves; Passeriformes; Tyrannidae
Exons: 5
Source: RefSeq, a predicted model, not a curated record
UUCAAUCUGUACAGUUUGUCUUUCAUAUCCAUAUGAGAUGAAGCAGGCUUGAUUUAGGCUGGGAAUGAUGCCAAAGAGAGAAGAUACAUCAUUAACCCUUAAUAAACGACUUAUGAAGCAUCCCUGGUUUAUUCAUUAAAAGGACUCCAUGAAGGAUUACCAUAACACCUUAUGAGUGUGUCUUUUCAGGAAAAGACCUCUACGGAGCAAGCUCGUGUCUGAACUGAAUCUCAGCCCUAGGGAAGAUGGUUUCUUCAGUUCCCCUUCAAGCCACACAUUUGCCCUUCCCCAGAGCUGGCCAGGCACAGCUGUGAAGCCCACCCUGAGCCCUGAAGAGGGGAGAUGCAGCCUUGAGAGUCCAAGAAAAGCCCUUUCUGCCUGCUUGAUGAUUCCUCUCCAGGACGGCGUGGGCACGAGUUUCAGUGCAGCCUCAGUUAUUCCUGCUGGGGAUCUGCCCUGAGUCAGCACAGCCCGGGGACAUGUCAGCAAAACCCAGAUGGCUGUCUCAGCUCAGAACGUGAAAAUCUUGGGAUUAGCAACUCUUCCUGCAGCAGAAGAUCACCAAGGACUGAAAGCGUGGCCAUUAGGAAGCAGAAGAUCCGACGGCUUCUACCACCACGCUCGUUCCCUUUGACAGAAAACUCAUUUUACAGCGGAGCUGAGAUACUUUGGAAAUGCUUCACAGAAAUCAGGGAUCUGUCUGAAAUUCUACACUGGAGGCAAAUGAAAAUUUUUAAUAGAUCUGGGUCUUAGUUCCGCUAAUUUCAAUGGUUCGUUUCGCUGUUCUGGCAGUCAGGAUCCAUUAGUGGAACAGAAGGAGAAGCAUGUAUAAUGCAUGUACAGCAACCGCAUUCUAAUCUCAAAUUUCUUUUUUCUUUUAAGUUCUUAUUUUUUUAAAUAAAUAUAUAAUGAGUUACUGACAGUACUUAACAAUAUCUUAUACUAGACACUGUAAUACCCCAAAUAAAUACUUAAUUUCUGCUUUCCUGCAACUUCACUGGGAUUACAUCAUGUCAGAUUACUCUAAGUCUGCUUUAACCCAGUUUGAAAACACUAG